RNAcentral lists this ribosomal RNA (398 nucleotides) under uncultured bacterium. RNAcentral describes it as "bacterial SSU rRNA". It matches the Rfam family "Bacterial small subunit ribosomal RNA", at positions 28 to 386 of the family's 1533-position model. The record is from RNAcentral.
GAUGAACGCUGGCGGCGUGCCUAAUACAUGCAAGUCGAACGCAUUGUGGUUGAAAUGAUAUGAAGAACUUGUUCAGAUUUGAUUUUCAACAUUGCAAUGAGUGGCGAACGGGUGAGUAACACGUGGGAAACCUACCUCUUAGCAGGGGAUAACAUUUGGAAACAAAUGCUAAUACCGUAUAAUAAUUAAAACCGCAUGGUUUUAGUUUAAAAGAUGGUCUUGCUAUCACUAAGAGAUGGUCCCGCGGUGUAUUAGUUAGUUUGGUGAGGUAAAUGGCUCACCAAGACAAUGAUACAUAGCCGAAGUUGAGAGACUGACCGGCCACAAUGGGACUGAGACACGGCCCAUACUCCUACGGGAGCAGCAGUAGGAAUCUUCCACAAUGGACGAAAGUCUGA